UACAUUUGCAACCGUUCAGGUCCCGCCACGGCGGGAUAAUAGGGAAGCCGGUGAAAGGCCGGCGCUAUCCCCGUAGCUGUAAUGCCCACCCAAACCUCCCGAAGGGGGGUCUUUGAAAACGUUUUACUAAAUGCCACUUUCUUAAUUCAGAAGGGAAGGGUAGUAAAACGGGCAAAGCCAGAAGACCUGCCUGAAUUCCGAUAACUAU
This 208-nucleotide non-coding RNA is filed under the name Sphingobacteriales bacterium. The record is from RNAcentral. Lineage: Bacteria; Pseudomonadati; Bacteroidota; Sphingobacteriia; Sphingobacteriales.